AGUCUGGUGCCAGCAGCCGCGGUAAUUCCAGCUCCAAUAGCUUAUAUUAAAGUUGUUGCAGUUAAAAAGCUCGUAGUUGAAUCUCUCGUUGCGGCCGGAUCAGGGGUGGUUUACUCCAUGCUUGGUUCGGCACGCAGCGUUUUUGUGGAGGUAGCCUGUUUGAACUUCAUUGAUCGAGCAGGCGAGACCACUCAGUUACUGUGAGCAAAACGGAGUGUUCAAAGCAGGCAAUCGCUUGAACGACUUAGCAUGGAAUAACAAGAUAUGACUGGGUCUGUCUUGUUGGUUUAUAGACCUAGUAAUGGUUAACAGGAACAGUUGGGGAUGUCUGUAUUUCCUAGUCAGAGGUGAAAUUCUUGGAUUUAGGGAAGACAAACGACUGCGAAAGCAUUCAUCAAGGAUGUUUUCAUUAAUCAAGAACGAAAGUUUGGGGAUCGAAGAUGAUUAGAUACCAUCGUAGUCCAAACCAUAAACGAUGCCGGCUCGGGAUCCCCAGUCGUUGAUCACGACUCUGGGGGCACCGUAUGAGAAAUCAAAGCCUUUGGGUUCCGGGGGGAGUAUGAUCGCAAGAUUGAAACUUAAAGGAAUUGACGGAAGGGCACACCAGAGGUGAGCCUGCGGUUUAAUUUGACCCAACACGGGGAAACUUACCAGGUCCAGACAUAGCGAGGAUUGACAGUUUGAAAGCACUUUCUUGAUUCUAUGGGUGGUGGUGCAUGGCCGUUCUUAGUUGGUGGAGUGAUUUGUCUGGUUGAUUCCGAUAACGAACGAGACCCGCGCACUUAAAUAGCAGGGCGAUUCUCACGAAUUGCUUGUGCUUCUUAUGUGGACAACUCUUGCUUAAAGAGGGGAAGCGGCGGGCAAUAACAGGUCUGUGAUGCCCUUAGAUGUUCUGGGCGACACGCGCGCUACAAUGAUUGGCUCAACGGGUACUUCCUUGCCCGGAAGGGCAUGGGUAAUCCUUUAAAUACCAAUCGUGAUGGGGCUAGAUGCUUGCAAUUAUUCAUCUUCAACGAGGAAUCUCUAGUAUGUGCGUUUCAUCAGAGCGCGCAGAAUGCGUCCCUGCCCUUUGUACACACCGCCCGUCGCAGCUACCGAUUGAGUGGUCCGGCAAGAUCUCAGGAGGCGCUUGGUGGUGAACUCUCGGGUUUGUCGCCAGAU
This 1161-nucleotide ribosomal RNA is filed under the name metagenome. RNAcentral's name for it is "SSU rRNA". It matches the Rfam family "Eukaryotic small subunit ribosomal RNA", at positions 558 to 1747 of the family's 1831-position model. The record is from RNAcentral.